CGCUGGCGGCAGGCCUAACACAUGCAAGUCGAACGGUAACAGGAAGCAGCUUGCUGCUUUGCUGACGAGUGGCGGACGGGUGAGUAAUGUCUGGGAAACUGCCUGAUGGAGGGGGAUAACUACUGGAAACGGUGGCUAAUACCGCAUAACGUCGCAAGACCAAAGAGGGGGACCUUCGGGCCUCUUGCCAUCAGAUGUGCCCAGAUGGGAUUAGCUAGUUGGUGAGGUAACGGCUCACCAAGGCGACGAUCCCUAGCUGGUCUGAGAGGAUGACCAGCCACACUGGAACUGAGACACGGUCCAGACUCCUACGGGAGGCAGCAGUGGGGAAUAUUGCACAAUGGGCGCAAGCCUGAUGCAGCCAUGCCGCGUGUAUGAAGAAGGCCUUCGGGUUGUAAAGUACUUUCAGCGGGGAGGAGGGUGUUGUGGUUAAUAACCACAGCAAUUGACGUUACCCGCAGAAGAAGCACCGGCUAACUCCGUGCCAGCAGCCGCGGUAAUACGGAGGGUGCAAGCGUUAAUCGGAAUUACUGGGCGUAAAGCGCACGCAGGCGGUCUGUCAAGUCGGAUGUGAAAUCCCCGGGCUCAACCUGGGAACUGCAUUCGAAACUGGCAGGCUUGAGUCUUGUAGAGGGGGGUAGAAUUCCAGGUGUAGCGGUGAAAUGCGUAGAGAUCUGGAGGAAUACCAGUGGCGAAGGCGGCCCCCUGGACAAAGACUGACGCUCAGGUGCGAAAGCGUGGGGAGCAAACAGGAUUAGAUACCCUGGUAGUCCACGCCGUAAACGAUGUCUACUUGGAGGUUGUGCCCUUGAGGCGUGGCUUCCGGAGCUAACGCGUUAAGUAGACCGCCUGGGGAGUACGGCCGCAAGGUUAAAACUCAAAUGAAUUGACGGGGGCCCGCACAAGCGGUGGAGCAUGUGGUUUAAUUCGAUGCAACGCGAAGAACCUUACCUGGUCUUGACAUCCACGGAAGUUUUCAGAGAUGAGAAUGUGCCUUCGGGAACCGUGAGACAGGUGCUGCAUGGCUGUCGUCAGCUCGUGUUGUGAAAUGUUGGGUUAAGUCCCGCAACGAGCGCAACCCUUAUCCUUUGUUGCCAGCGGUCCGGCCGGGAACUCAAAGGAGACUGCCAGUGAUAAACUGGAGGAAGGUGGGGAUGACGUCAAGUCAUCAUGGCCCUUACGACCAGGGCUACACACGUGCUACAAUGGCGCAUACAAAGAGAAGCGACCUCGCGAGAGCAAGCGGACCUCAUAAAGUGCGUCGUAGUCCGGAUUGGAGUCUGCAACUCGACUCCAUGAAGUCGGAAUCGCUAGUAAUCGUGGAUCAGAAUGCCACGGUGAAUACGUUCCCGGGCCUUGUACACACCGCCCGUCACACCAUGGGAGUGGGUUGCAAAAGAAGUAGGUAGCUUAACCUUCGGGAGGGCGCUUACCACUUUGUGAUUCAUGACUGGGGU
Molecule: ribosomal RNA, 1457 nt
Filed under: Salmonella sp.
Lineage: Bacteria; Pseudomonadati; Pseudomonadota; Gammaproteobacteria; Enterobacterales; Enterobacteriaceae
Description: bacterial SSU rRNA
Rfam family: Bacterial small subunit ribosomal RNA
Source: RNAcentral